This 459-nucleotide ribosomal RNA is filed under the name uncultured bacterium. RNAcentral describes it as "partial 16S ribosomal RNA". It matches the Rfam family "Bacterial small subunit ribosomal RNA", at positions 338 to 795 of the family's 1533-position model. The record is from RNAcentral.
CCUACGGGAGGCAGCAGUGAGGAAUAUUGGUCAAUGGGCGCGAGCCUGAACCAGCCAAGUAGCGUGAAGGAUGACUGCCCUACGGGUUGUAAACCUCUUUUAUAAAGGAACAAAGUGAGCCACGUGUGCCUUUUUGUAUGUACCCUAUGAAAAAGGCUCGGCUAACUCCGUGCCAGCAGCCGCGGUAAUACGGGGGAUGCGAGCUUUAUCCGGAUUUAUUGGGUUUAAAGGGUGCGUAGUGGGGAUGUAAAGGCAGGGGUAAAAUUUUGGGGCUCAACCUUGCCUUGCCGUUGAAACUGGCAGUCUUGAGUGCGCGAGAAGUAUGCGGAAUGCGUGGUGUAGCGGUGAAAUGCAUAGAUAUCACGAAGAACUCCGAUUGCGAAGGCAGCAUACUGGCCUGCAACUGACGUUGAUGCACGAAAGUGUGGGUAUCGAACAGGAUUAGAUACCCGAGUAGUC